CCUUUAUCAGUCGGUGGCCAGCGGGACGCCAGCAGACUUCACAGUGGUCCGAAAGAAGACCGGUCAACUGGAGCACCUCGCUGUCGCUUAGAGAGGAGCGUGAAGGUACAAGCCUGGAGCGCAUACAGGCUGCGUCACGUUCUAUACGUCAUCUUGAAGACAUCUGGCGGCGGCUGAACCGAAUCAUCGAAUGAUAUGGCAGAUGCACAUCACGAGGCUCCGCGGUACGAUCAGUUCGUCGAUCGUCACCUCGUGGUUCCCUGGUACGCAACUGUACCAACGACACACCAAAAGACCACGCCCUCUUCUAGCAAAGCUGUCACCACCUGGUGUCAGGCCACGAGCAAGUGUACCGUGACGAGUGCCACGGCUGUAACGACAUACCAUGUCAUCUCAUAUGGUGACGGAGGAAGUCCAACGUGGCACAUAAGGUCCUAGCAUACAGGUUCUAGUGUCAGGGAGUGACGGUACGCCCUGUUCGAAAAUGGCCAACUACUCCUUACACCACCCGGAAUCUGACGCUACAUCCUUGACGCACCCCGCAACAACCUACCAGACUCAUUCCGUAGCAACGUCGUCUUGUGGGAGCACGACACGAACAGGUCCAGAGGUUUCUCCCUCCAAUCAGGUCAGUUGCCACCCUGUCAUUCCAUGCCUGGUCAGUCUACCGACGAAGGCUAAGGAUAUUACACCUCCAAAUACCGCAGCAGUCACAACUUGGUGCCAAUCCACCUGCCAGCUGACCUCCGUGUCGAGCUCGACACCCGUAAUGACGUGUCGCCUCAUCUUGUGCGAAGACAGAGGGAGAGGGGGAUGGCGCACGAGGUCCUAAGAUUAGGAAAGGUGGCGUCAAGGGUAUCCACAGAGACCUUCAUCCCCAUGGUCAGGCUUCAUUCUGGGUUCUAGCCUGCUGAAUCAGGCUUGUAGCCUAAGCUGCGAUUGCAGAAUGGUGCCGCACCAUACCAUGUGAUACAAAGACGCGAUUGUGAUAUGCAAGACAUCGCACGGUGCUAAUAUAUGUGCUCGCAUAUAGUGACGUGGACACGUGGUGCUUUCUUUACGGUUUCACGUGACACUUAGUGCUGCCGUCAUUGUGACGUCGUGGGAGGCGUGGCCUUCACAUCACCUCGAGUAGUACUUCAAGACUCCGCAAGGGGUCCCGUGAACCGUUCUUCGCUCACCAGUGGAACUUCUAGAAAUGUGAUCUUUACUUUCUCCUCAGGUGGACACUUGAAACUGUUAGCAAAACACUUCAAUCCUGAACGAACGGUUGACAAAGUGAGUCUGAACAUGACGUAAUGGACGAAGGUUCGAGUAUUCGGCUAUCCGCUGAAACUAAUCCCGUGACCUCGGACGCAGCCUUCUCAAUUCCCUCUGAUCCUCAAUGAUUACGGGUACGACCACAUGAGCCUUUCGUUCCAGAUGACAUGUACGAGGGGGGAGCGUAAUGACAUGGAUCGGCUCGCCAUUUUUUUUUGCCACGCAGAACUGACUGGCAAUACUUUGCGCAGAGCGUGCUAUGCUUUAAAGUUCAGUUUUUUCAGAGUGAGCCAAAAGAAUAGACCGGACAUACACCGAGUGAACGACGCGGCAAAAAAAAAAAAAAAAAGCGAAAAAGAGUGGACGAGGAUUGUAACUAGGGAAAUGAACAAGGCAGAGGAAGACGAGAGGUGGCGAACCGGGACGGGUAAAAAUAAGAGUAUGAGCCUGUACAGUGAAAACAAGGAUCAGUGAGCACUUGAAAUGUUCUACAGGGUUGACUACGGGAGAGAACUCCUUUUUCAAGCUCGGACUGGAUCAUUACUAACGAGAAGACGAAGGCGAAAACUAUUUCACGCUGAUAGCUCGGAAUGAAUGUAUACCAUCUGCAACGGCGGGGAAGACGGGGAUCUCCAGCAUAUACCCCAAAGUUCCGUUCUUGGGCCCUCUGCUCUUCCUCACAGCCGUAAAUGAUCUUCCUGAAUCAGUUUCUUCAUAAGAUCUUUCGAGAGAAGCGCAGGUGCCUCCAAGUGAGCGGCGCAAGGCGUCUUGGGAUGUUUGAGAGACACUGUCGUCUGCUUUUUUCGGCGAGACCACGUGGGAUGUUUUUAGCGACGAUUUUACUAUGUGGGCAAUGAAUGUCGCGUACUGUUGACCUCCUUUGAGUGUUUAAGGCAUACAAAGAGCGCAUGGGCCUGCUCUUCAGAACACUCAUUACCUGUUCCGCGUCAGAUACGACCGGCACAUUCUAAAACGAAACGCAAUCGAACGAUCACUUUCACGGAGAUGCAACCAGAGCGACAGUCGACCCAUUAACCCUGCUGGGCGACAUUAAUAACAUUUGCAGCUGGUGUACCACUUGGGGUAUAUCUCUCAAUACUAAUAAAUGUAAAUACAAUGUG
This is a long non-coding RNA of Ornithodoros turicata, 2381 nucleotides long. RefSeq lists it as uncharacterized. Lineage: Eukaryota; Metazoa; Arthropoda; Arachnida; Ixodida; Argasidae. The transcript has 8 exons. The record is from RefSeq and is a predicted model, not a curated record.